CCUACGGGGGGCUGCAGUGGGGAAUUUUGGACAAUGGGCGCAAGCCUGAUCCAGCCAUGCCGCGUGCAGGAUGAAGGCCUUCGGGUUGUAAACUGCUUUUGUACGGAACGAAAAGUCUUUCUCUAAUAAAGAGGGAUCAUGACGGUACCGUAAGAAUAAGCACCGGCUAACUACGUGCCAGCAGCCGCGGUAAUACGUAGGGUGCAAGCGUUAAUCGGAAUUACUGGGCGUAAAGCGUGCGCAGGCGGUGAUGUAAGACAGUUGUGAAAUCCCCG
This 275-nucleotide ribosomal RNA is filed under the name uncultured bacterium. RNAcentral describes it as "partial 16S ribosomal RNA". It matches the Rfam family "Bacterial small subunit ribosomal RNA", at positions 338 to 605 of the family's 1533-position model. The record is from RNAcentral.